Molecule: long non-coding RNA, 2775 nt
Organism: Cydia strobilella
Lineage: Eukaryota; Metazoa; Arthropoda; Insecta; Lepidoptera; Tortricidae
Exons: 2
Source: RefSeq, a predicted model, not a curated record
AUGUUUAAGGCGGUUCCCUGAGCUAGAAGGCGAAAAAUGUCCUUAUAUGAUCAUGUUUUUCUAAGAGGCGUUGAUAUUCGUAGACGUGGAAAAAAAAUAUGUAGUUCUUGACUAUAUUAUCUUUAAUAUCUUAGCUUCCGAUACACGAAUUAUGCCACUUCGCUUGAUACAAUUAAUUCCCAAAGUAACCUCUAACUCGGACUUUUAAUCCAACUUUACUCGGUUAUUUAUUAUGUGAUACUAUAAACAAAAAAAAAACAAAAACAAUCUUAACUUAAAUUAUAAUUUCAUAGCUUUCGAAUUUCGAUAUUGUAAGGUAACGUUUUAAAAAUCAUUAAAAAUCGACAAAAUUCGUUCAAAAAUGACACUGGCGCGCAUGAUCUUUCUUGCGAAAUGUGACAGUGACAGCGGCAAACCGAUGGAACGGCCUUAAGUUGAAUAUAUAUGGAGCAGAUCUGCUCCUAAGCAUACGAAAGGUUCAAUAUGGCUUAAGAGGAAAGGGGACGGUCGCUGCUCCAUACAAGUGUAGUCCCCAUUUUCCUCUCUGGAUAUUGACAUUAUGAAAAAUAUUUUUACAUAAUUUGACUUGAAUACUUACCAUAGCUAUGCCCCUACGUUUAAAUCUGUUUCAUUUAUUGAUUACUGUAAAAAUGAGGAGCGAAAAACAGAUUUCAUACAAAUUUUUGAAAUGCUCCUAACUCUUAUAAUAAUUAAAAAUUGAACGUAGGGACAUAGCUGUAGUUGAUAUGCAUCUAACUGUGUCAGAAUAUUUCCAAUAAUGUUAAUAUCCAGAGAGGAAAAUGAGGAUUACGUUUGUAUGAAAAGGUCAUUUCACGGAGGUCCUCCACCUUCGUAUUAAAGGACUCUCAUCCAGGCCAAAAUUGUUUAAAAAAAACAUUCAAUUUUUUUUGGCAGUGUCCAGACAAAGUAUUUACAUUUGCAUUCUCGAAAAUGGAUAUUCGUACUGUGAAAUGUUGACGAAAAUCUUCAGCAACUAUCUGAACUACAGUUGUGCAUUAAUUAUUUUCCAUCGUAUUUUCACGGAAACGUACGAAUUUAUCUUGCUAUUUCAGUCAGUCUCAGUACAAAAAGUACUGAGGUUGACUGAAGUAGCAUGACAAAUACGAACGUUUCCGAGAAAAUACGAUGGAAACCAAUUAUGCACUACAACUGUAUCUCUAUACUAGUUUUCACUGUAGUACCAUAUGACGUUUAUUAUAUGAAUACGAAUUAUAAAAAUAUAUGAAUACGCCAGCCUUUCAGCACAAUACAUGUCCAGUAUUUAUAAGUUGUUGUUAUACUUAUACGUAAAGCCUGACCAGGAAUAUAUGAUCACGCGCCAUGUUGCGGAAUUUCACUGGAACUAAUUUUUUCAUACUAUACUGAACUGUCACUCUAUACAUGAGAAUGAACAGCGCCCUCUUGACAAUGAUCAUAUAUUACUGGUCAGGCUUUACUAGCAGUGGAAUGGUACAGGUCGAUUUAUAAGGACCAGUUGCACCAACCACAAUUAACAGACUGAUCAACGUCAAGCAAGCAGAGAACUAUGAAACUUCCUACAAUAAAAUUUAGCGAACGCUAAAACGGUGACAGACGGUUUGGUGCAACCCGACCACGAGAUUUGUACUAAUUUAACAAUAUUUUUAUAAACACUGCGCUCUUGUGAAUCGAUGUGUAGCCAGUUAUCAACUAGAUACGAUUCGCAUGUCGCUUCGAUGUUUGAGCGAGACAACGCUAUGCGCGUAUUAAAGCGACAUCCCGCUCGCACAUCGGCGCGACGUGCGAACCGCACAGUUAAAAGUCAAACGAGCACAAAAUUGGUCGCUUUUCGCCAUUUCUGAAUAGGCAACCUGAACCUUACUGUAAUAACUACAAGGUUCAAAAUGAAAUAAUUAGAUUUGUUUGAAAGCUGAUGGUUAUUUCUCAUAAUUUCGGAUUGAGAUCGCUUUAGCGCUCGAUGAGUUGUCUCUGUAUGUUUUAUUGGAAUAGACAAGGAUAUAAUGAAACUGAUUAUGCGCUUAGCUGUAGUGAGUUUCGAGGUCGAGAGAGCAUGGAAAGAAGAAAUGGUAAUGUCUGUUUUCAGCGGAGAAUUGAUCACAUUUAUGACUGAUACGGACGAUAAAGUGUACGCUUGUCUCUGUUAAUCAAAUACUUUAGAUGUUUUCUUCUCUGGUAUUAUAUUUACCAGCGGGCGAUAUUGAUACAUAUAUCCCUAUGGGUUAGGGUUGCCACCUUUUUUCUAUACACAUAUAGUAUUUUUGUCAAAAUAUUGAAAAAAAUAUAGUAUUUACUGGGAAAUUUGAAAAAAAAAUAGGGCCGAUUUGAGGCGAAUUAAAAAUCCAAGUCGCAUACGAUGCGAUAUCGGUGACAUUUGUAUACCCCAUUCUUGAGUGAUCAAUAUAGUAUUUUUCGUACUAUAUUGUUUUUUAUGGGUGGCAACCCUACUAUGGGUACAGUAAGAAUGCGCCACGCACUGCCAUUUACUUAUUUGCCGUUUUAGUCCAGGUUUUAAGCUUGACCCUUGCGCUUUCAAACUAUCUCUUUCCAGCUCGUAAGUGCGUCUCUCUCGACCCGCGACAGAGGAUGAUGUAACGGCGACUGUUAAGAGCUUAAUGUUGUUAUGUUCCUCAUUUUAAGUGAUUUUCUUAUAUUAAAAAAUGUAUACUCUAUGUAAAAUCUAGAAUAUAGUUAUUUUUCGUUGUUUUAGAGCUUAUUUUUUAGAAUUAGCGAAUUUACUGUAUGACGAAAAAAUUAAUUGAAAAAUGUGUAUAUAAA